RNAcentral lists this ribosomal RNA (490 nucleotides) under uncultured bacterium. RNAcentral's name for it is "partial 16S ribosomal RNA". It matches the Rfam family "Bacterial small subunit ribosomal RNA", at positions 30 to 507 of the family's 1533-position model. The record is from RNAcentral.
AUUGAACGCUGGCGGCAGGCCUAACACAUGCAAGUCGAACGGUAACAGGAAACAGCUUGCUGUUUCGCUGACGAGUGGCGGACGGGUGAGUAAUGUCUGGGAAACUGCCUGAUGGAGGGGGAUAACUACUGGAAACGGUAGCUAAUACCGCAUAACGUCGCAAGACCAUAGAGGGGGACCCUCGGGCCUCUUGCCAUCGGAUGUGCCCAGAUGGGAUUAGCUUGUUGGUGGGGUAACGGCUCACCAAGGCGACGAUCCCUAGCUGGUCUGAGAGGAUGACCAGCCACACUGGAACUGAGACACGGUCCAGACUCCUACGGGAGGCAGCAGUGGGGAAUAUUGCACAAUGGGCGCAAGCCUGAUGCAGCCAUGCCGCGUGUAUGAAGAAGGCCUUCGGGUUGUAAAGUACUUUCAGCGGGGAGGAAGGGAGUAAAGUUAAUACCUUUGCUCAUUGACGUUACCCGCAGAAGAAGCACCGGCUAACUCCGUG